AUUGAACGCUGGCGGCAGGCCUAACACAUGCAAGUCGAACGAGUGGCGGACGGGUGAGUAAUGUCUGGGACACUGCCUUAUGGAGGGGGAUCACUACUGGAAACGGUAGCUAAUACCGCAUACCAUUCGCUGUUCCCAGAUUGGAUUAGCUUGUUGGUGGGGUAACGGCUCACCAAGGCGACGAUCACUAGCUGGUCUGAGAGGGUGACCAGCCACCCUGGAACUGAUAAACGGUCCAGACGCCUACGGGAGGCAGCAGUGGGGAAUAUUGCACAAUGGGCGCAAGCCUGAUGCAGCAAUGCCGCGUGUAUGAAGAAGGCCUUCGGGUUGGAAAGUACUUUCAGCGGGGAAGCGUUACCCGAAGAAGAAGCACCGGCUAACUACGUGCCAGCAGCCGCGGUAAUAC
This 406-nucleotide ribosomal RNA is filed under the name uncultured bacterium. RNAcentral describes it as "partial 16S ribosomal RNA". It matches the Rfam family "Bacterial small subunit ribosomal RNA", at positions 30 to 526 of the family's 1533-position model. The record is from RNAcentral.